ACGGGUGCGUAACGCGUGGGAAUCUGCCCUUGGGUUCGGAAUAACAGUGAGAAAUUACUGCUAAUACCGGAUGAUGUCUUCGGACCAAAGAUUUAUCGCCCAGGGAUGAGCCCGCGUAGGAUUAGCUAGUUGGUGGGGUAAUGGCCUACCAAGGCGACGAUCCUUAGCUGGUCUGAGAGGAUGAUCAGCCACACUGGGACUGAGACACGGCCCAGACUCCUACGGGAGGCAGCAGUGGGGAAUAUUGGACAAUGGGCGAAAGCCUGAUCCAGCAAUGCCGCGUGAGUGAUGAAGGCCUUAGGGUUGUAAAGCUCUUUUACCCGGGAUGAUAAUGACAGUACCGGGAGAAUAAGCUCCGGCUAACUCCGUGCCAGCAGCCGCGGUAAUACGGAGGGAGCUAGCGUUGUUCGGAAUUACUGGGCGUAAAGCGCGCGUAGGCGGCUGCUCAAGUCAGAGGUGAAAGCCCGGGGCUCAACCCCGGAACUGCCUUUGAAACUAGGUAGCUAGAAUCUUGGAGAGGUCAGUGGAAUU
Molecule: ribosomal RNA, 531 nt
Filed under: Novosphingobium sp. HRRK165
Lineage: Bacteria; Pseudomonadati; Pseudomonadota; Alphaproteobacteria; Sphingomonadales; Sphingomonadaceae
Description: bacterial SSU rRNA
Rfam family: Bacterial small subunit ribosomal RNA
Source: RNAcentral